GGGGGCCCGCAAGCGGUGGAGCAUGUGGCUUAAUUCGAUGCAACGCGAAGAACCUUACCAGGGCUUGACAUGGAUCUGCAAGCUACCGAAAAGUAGUCGCCUUCGAGGGUGAUUCACAGGUGGUGCAUGGCUGUCGUCAGCUCGUGUUGUGAAAUGUUGGGUUAAGUCCCGCAACGAGCGCAACCCUCAUGUUCUGUUACCAGCGAGUAAAGUCGGGGACUCGGAACAAACUGCCGCUGUAAAGCGGAGGAAGGUGGGGAUGACGUCAAGUCAUCAUGCCCCUUACGCCCUGGGCUGCACACAUGCUACAAUGGCCGGCACAAAGAGCUGCGAAACUGCGAAGUGGAGCAAAUCUCAAAAAACCGGUCCCAGUUCGGAUUGGAGUCUGCAACUCGACUCCAUGAAGUCGGAAUCGCUAGUAACCGCCGGUCAGCAAUACGGCGGUGAAUACGUUCCCGGGCCUUGCACACACC
This 473-nucleotide ribosomal RNA is filed under the name uncultured bacterium. Its description in RNAcentral is "bacterial SSU rRNA". It matches the Rfam family "Bacterial small subunit ribosomal RNA", at positions 915 to 1391 of the family's 1533-position model. The record is from RNAcentral.